CCCCCCCCCCCCCCCAACAAAUCGCACCCUGCUCAAAAUCUCUGAAGAAUGUCUCCAGCACCUUGUUGAACGUUGUAUACCUGGUGUAUGGCUCUUGUUUGUGGCUUUGACUGCUUUAAACAGCCCCUCCUGUGUGCUAGGAGAGCUCAGUCGUUUGGUGUCCUCUAAUGACAGCAUGGGGAGAUUUAAUUAACCAACAAAAUUGGUCAUUUCCAGAAGGAACAGAGCCACAUGUACACAGAUCUUUAAAGUCAUUUUUGAAGGUCUCGUUCAUUUCCUCCAUUAAUAUGUUCAUGUUUAGCACGUCUAAUUGCUGGUAUAGACCUUCCUGUUGUUUAAGAGUUAGUGCCAGAAGAUGACUCAUUGAACAUAUCGACAUAUUUUUAGGUAGGCCUUUUUACUUCAAGUACUCCAUUUCACACACUACCACUACCAUGAAAUGUCCAGAGGAAGAUGAUUAAAUGCAGAAUCCAUCUCCUCUGGCUUCUCCUCCUGUCUUCCUUCCGUCUUCUUCCUUCUCUGCAUUGAACACAUAGGGGGUUAUUCAUUGUACGAUCCCUGGCAGCACCGCGAUGUCCUGUCCUACCUGGGCUCUUUGAUAUAGAUAACUAACAGCUUAUCUUAACAUGCUUGUUCUUUCCUGCUGCAGGUUUGACUCAUUCUUGUGAAAGUCCAUUUCCACCCCCCCCAAUAGAAAAAAACAUGUGAUGGUGUCUCAAGUGAUUGUAGUAUAACAACACCUGUGUCUGGAAUCAGUAAUCAGGAAGAGAGCCACUGUUGAAAAAAACUCGUAUCAAGUAUCGACUACAGUUCGCCAAAAGGCAUGUGGGAGACUCCAUGGUCAAGCGGAAGAAAGUUCUGUUCUCUGAGCUUUUUUUCAACAGUGGCUCUCUUCCAAAAAGCUUUGAUUGGUGAAGAACCCGGGCAACAGUGGUUGUAUGCAGAGUCUCUCCCAUCUCAGAUGCUGAAGCUUGUAACUCCUUCAGAGUAGUCAUAGGUGUCUUGGUGGCCUCUCUCACUAGUUUCCUUCUUGCACUGUCACUCAGUUUGCACUGUCACUCAACUUAUAUUGACCAUGAUUGAUUCAUAAAAGCAAUAAAAGGGUAAAACAUCCAAGGGGGUGAAUACUCAUGCAAGGCACUGUACAUGUCUAUAGUCAAGUCCUUUGCCUCAAUUUAACUUCCUCAGUUCCUCAGGGAAACUGAAUAGCUAUUGAUAUACUUCUACACUGGGUAAAUUGGGUAUUUGCACAAUAACACUACCCGUAUUUGUCAGAACUGGAAAACAAUGUAUCCCUUUUCAGAGGUUUAAUGCGUAACUCUUGUUAUGACAAAAUAUUGUCAUGAAUAGGGUUCUUUUUGAGUCUCAGUUUUUUAAUGUAAUGUAUUAAUGUAUUUAGGUUUUGGAUUUUCUUGGUAAUGUUUUGAAAUCACAAGAUUUGUUCUGACCUCAAAAACAGAGGACUGCUGAGCUGUUUAAUUCAAUAUCAUCUGAUCACAUGGGGGUGUAUUUCAAAAGGUUGCAUGCCUCCUGUUCUGCACGCAAGCUUCCAGGGCACCCAUAUAGGUAGAUCACAUGCCUUUUAGAACGCGACCGCCAUAUAGGUAGAUCACAUGCCUUUUAGAACGCGACCGCCAUAUAGGUAGAUCACAUGCCUUUUAGAACGUCUUUUGGCUGCUUGUUUUGAAUAAUAGGUUUUAAAUGAACUGCAAUGAAAUAUCAGUUAAGUUCAAUUCUUGUGACUUUUGCAUAGUGAAAGUUUGGUUAUAUCCAACUCUGGAAAACAUUAGACACGCGUUAGGUGUGAACACUGCACCUUUCUGAUAUCUUUUUAUUGAUAAUUGUCCAGAGGCCAUUGUGUAAAUAAUCUACAUCUAAUCCUUGCUGAUUUCAAUGAUCUGUUGCCUUGAAAUAGAGCCAUUGAAUACACAGUGACUCUUGUGUAUCCUGACUGUGUUGUGAGGGAACAGUUAUAUUUAGGCACACGAUCAUUCACUGUGUCCUGUAAACAUGCAUGUAAUGACCUUAAAAACAAUUGUGGGAAUUCCCCAAGUGGGUUGUGGGAGACUCAGCUCAGACCCAAUGUCAAACAUUGCAUUGCAGCUGUAAAGUUCCCAAGCAGGAAGUUUGUUCAGCAGCAACAACUAGUAAAUCACUCUUAUUAAAGCAGCAGUGGUUGUCUAGGAUCUUCACUGAAAUAAGUUAACUUCAAACUUCAAUUGAUACAAAAUCUUUCUGAAUGUGCACAGAAUUUUCAGAAUGUGAAAACGGUUGCCAUGGACAGCCCAAAGUAAUUUCUUGAUCAAUUUCAAAUCAACUUGAAUCAGUUAUUGAGAAUAGAAGCAUGGAAUUCCCUGAAUUCCAAAAUGAAUACAUUUAACAAAAAAAUGUUGUUAUCAAAUAUGUACAUCUGAGGUCACGGAAGUCUGGAGCACAUAAGGCCCCGAUGACCCAGCUGCUAUCUAGAUAGAGCUCUAAAAGCUGGAGCACAUGAGGCCCCGAUGAGCCAGCUGCUAUCUAGACAGAGCUAUAAAAGCUGGAGCACAUGUGGUCCUGAUGAGCCAGCUGCUAUCUAGACAGAGCUAUAAAAGCUGGAGCACAUGAGGUCCUGAUGA
Long non-coding RNA from Clupea harengus (Atlantic herring), 2615 nucleotides. NCBI's taxonomy places the organism in Eukaryota, Metazoa, Chordata, Actinopteri, Clupeiformes, Clupeidae. The record is from Ensembl.